RNAcentral lists this ribosomal RNA (495 nucleotides) under uncultured bacterium. Its description in RNAcentral is "partial 16S ribosomal RNA". It matches the Rfam family "Bacterial small subunit ribosomal RNA", at positions 28 to 507 of the family's 1533-position model. The record is from RNAcentral.
GACGAACGCUGGCGGCGUGCCUAAUACAUGCAAGUAGAACGCUGAAGGAGGAGCUUGCUUCUCUGGAUGAGUUGCGAACGGGUGAGUAACGCGUAGGUAACCUGCCUGGUAGCGGGGGAUAACUAUUGGAAACGAUAGCCAAUACCGCAUAAUAGUAGAUGUUGCAUGACAUUUGCUUAAAAGGUGCAAUUGCAUCACUACCAGAUGGACCUGCGUUGUAUUAGCUAGUUGGUGGGGUAACGGCUCACCAAGGCGACGAUACAUAGCCGACCUGAGAGGGUGAUCGGCCACACUGGGACUGAGACACGGCCCAGACUCCUACGGGAGGCAGCAGUAGGGAAUCUUCGGCAAUGGACGGAAGUCUGACCGAGCAACGCCGCGUGAGUGAAGAAGGUUUUCGGAUCGUAAAGCUCUGUUGUAAGAGAAGAACGAGUGUGAGAGUGGAAAGUUCACACUGUGACGGUAUCUUACCAGAAAGGGACGGCUAACUACGUG